Molecule: ribosomal RNA, 506 nt
Filed under: uncultured bacterium
Lineage: Bacteria
Description: partial 16S ribosomal RNA
Rfam family: Bacterial small subunit ribosomal RNA
Source: RNAcentral
AAUGAACGUUGGCGGCAGGCCUAACACAUGCAAGUCGAACGGUAACAGGAAACAGCUUGCUGUUUCGCUGACGAGUGGCGGACGGGUGAGUAAUGUCUGGGAAACUGCCUGAUGGAGGGGGAUAACUACUGGAAACGGUAGCUAAUACCGCAUAACGUCGCAAGACCAAAGAGGGGGACCUUCGGGCCUCUUGCCAUCGGAUGUGCCCAGAUGGGAUUAGCUAGUAGGUGGGGUAACGGCUCACCUAGGCGACGAUCCCUAGCUGGUCUGAGAGGAUGACCAGCCACACUGGAACUGAGACACGGUCCAGACUCCUACGGGAGGCAGCAGUGGGGAAUAUUGCACAAUGGGCGCAAGCCUGAUGCAGCCAUGCCGCGUGUAUGAAGAAGGCCUUCGGGUUGUAAAGUACUUUCAGCGGGGAGGAAGGGAGUAAAGUCAAUACCUUUGCUCAUUGACGUUACCCGCAGAAGAAGCACCGGCUAACUCCGUGCCAGCCGCCGCCGUAA